CCAGAGCCAAGAAAGGCUCUCAUGUUCAAACCCUAAAACUACAAAAAUUCACCAAAUUGAAAGGGGAAAUCAAGCCCAAAUAGAAAACCAAGCACAAAUUAGUGAUCACCUCCGUAAAGGGAUCAUAAGGCAAGGAAACCGGGACGUCAAGCGGACAAGCCGGUGGUGAUACACGUUUGAAGGGAGCGCUUUAAAGGUGAUGCUCGUUUGUUGUGGAUGUUGAUCAAGCAAGGGAAUCAAGAACCGAACACAAUUUUUGAAUGCUUCCGCGCU
This is a long non-coding RNA of Helianthus annuus (common sunflower), 273 nucleotides long. RefSeq lists it as uncharacterized. The record is from RefSeq and is a predicted model, not a curated record. The transcript has 3 exons. Lineage: Eukaryota; Viridiplantae; Streptophyta; Magnoliopsida; Asterales; Asteraceae.